GUCUAUGGCCCUACCACCCUGAACGCGCCUGAUCUCAUCUGAUCUCAGAAGCUGAGCAGGGUCAGGCCUGAUUAGUACUUGGAUGGGACAAACUAGAAACUUUCGCAUGGAGAUC
This 115-nucleotide ribosomal RNA is filed under the name Oryctolagus cuniculus (rabbit). Lineage: Eukaryota; Metazoa; Chordata; Mammalia; Lagomorpha; Leporidae. The record is from RNAcentral.